Molecule: ribosomal RNA, 1827 nt
Filed under: Triticum aestivum (bread wheat)
Lineage: Eukaryota; Viridiplantae; Streptophyta; Magnoliopsida; Poales; Poaceae
Description: partial small subunit ribosomal RNA
Source: RNAcentral
AUGGACGCCAACUGGCGGCCCACCCAAGGGUCUGGCCCCGCCGGCGGCGGCGGCGGCGGCGGCGCUGACCCGCCCCCCGCCGGAGGCGACUGGCGCGCCCAGCUCCAGCCCGAGGCGCGCGGCAGGAUCGUCGAUAAGAUAAUGGAGACUCUGAAGAAUCAUCUGCCAGUAUCUGUGCCUGUGACGCCAGAGGCACUGAACGAACUUCAAAAAAUCGCUGCGCGAUUCGAAGAAAAGGUCUAUACCGAAGCAACCAGUCAGUAUGAUUAUUUGCGGAAGAUUUCUGUGAAGUUGCUCUCAAUGGAGACGCAGAGACAGCAGGCUCCUGGAAAUGCUUUGCUGAUUCCAAAUCAAAACAACCCUGCCCCUGGACUCCAUCCACAAGGCAGUAAUCAAGCACAGACAUCAGCAGUUCCCUUGAUGUCUCAGCAACAGGCCCGGCAGCCAAAUGCUUCUACAUCUGUACAAGCUUCUUCACUCACUAAUAUCAGACAGAACUUGCCAGGUGUCAACCAAACAUCAAUGAUGCAGACUGCGUCUGUCAUUCCACAAAACACAAUGAAUAAUGGCUUGGCGCAAGGCACUUCACAAGAUGUUUAUGCUGCACAAAGGCAAAUGGCAGGCAGGCAGCAACAGGAACAAUCUCAGCAAUUAAUUUAUCACCAGCAUCAACAGCCUUCUCUGCAGAGUCAGCAGCCCAAUAUUCCUUUACAACAGCAGCAACAACAGUUGAUGGGACAACAGCCAAAUUUACAACAAAAUCAGCUAAUUGGUCAACAGAAUGGUGCUGUGAUGAUGCAGCAGCAACAGAGGCUAACAGUUCAGUCAAAUAAUCUUUUGAAUGUGCAGCAAACACAUCAGAUGUUGAACCAGCAGUAUAUGCCUUUGUAUCAGCCACAACAAUUGGGCUCUCAAGCAAAUAUGUUGAGUCUAAAGCAGCAUCAACAAAAUCAACAGCAGCAGCAACUUUUUGGAACUGUGCCUAAUGUGUCAAACAUGCAGUGGAUGCAUAUGCAACAAACAAAAGCUCAGCAACCACAGCAACAACAUGCUCAGCAGCCACCAAUGGGUUUGAUGCAACCUCAGUUUCAACACAAUCAACUUCAACAAUUGCAACAUCUUAUGCCACAGUUCCAGUCUCAGCCUAACCAACUACAAGAGCAAUUAAGGACGCAGCAGCAAUCCUCCAUGCAGCAAAGACUUCAAACUUCAGGAGCCAUGUUCUUGCAACAAAAUAACAUGGAUCAGCAAAACCAGUUUAUUCAGGCACAGAGGGGCCUUCAAGAAGUUUCCUCUAGUACAUCUGCGGACUAUACUGCUCAAACAGGCCAUGCAAGUGCAGGUGAUUGGCAAGAGGAGAUACAUCAAAUGAUUAAGAGGUUAAAGGACCAAUACUUUGCAGAACUCAGUGAAUUAUUCAAUAAGAUGUCUGUGAAGCUACAGCAUGUUGACAGCAUUAUUCCACCUCAAAUAUCAUCUGAGCAGUAUGAUAGAAUGAAGAGCUUUAAAAUAAUGUUGGAGCGCAUAUUACAAAUGCUGCAAAUUGGUAAAAGUAGUGUCCAACCUGCUAUGAGGGACAAAGUUCCUCGAUAUGAGAAACAGAUUAUCAGUAUCUUGAACUCAAAAAGGAAGCCAGUGCAGCCACAAAUACAACAACAAUUCCAGCCACCUCCAGGGAGAAGAGGGAGAGAGCUUACUGUGGUGGCUGAGGCAGAGGCACCCCACGAUCGAGUUGGGCAGGACCGUAUGGCGGUGAGGGUGGUCCGGGCACGCGUGACUAGCGAGGGUGACGACCGUGCAAGCAAGGCAAGGGCGAUGGGCAGCUAG